GAAAAAUACACCAUGAUAGAUGUCCUGGGUGAAGAGCAGAUUCUUGAUUUUAAAGAGUCCUUUGGCUUGUUUGCCAAAGAUGGAGAUGAGGGGGGAGCUCAAAAAGGCUUUCAAGGAUUUUGACAAAAACCAAAAUGGCUAUAUAUCAACUAGUGAGGUCGGGCCAACAUAUGUUGCAAAUUAGCUUACAACUCUUUUUCUUGAAGAAGUUGGAGUUCUUGCCAUUUUUUUUCUCAACCUACGUGCACC
Long non-coding RNA from Cajanus cajan (pigeon pea), 249 nucleotides. RefSeq lists it as uncharacterized. The record is from RefSeq and is a predicted model, not a curated record. Lineage: Eukaryota; Viridiplantae; Streptophyta; Magnoliopsida; Fabales; Fabaceae.